RNAcentral lists this ribosomal RNA (503 nucleotides) under uncultured bacterium. RNAcentral describes it as "partial 16S ribosomal RNA". It matches the Rfam family "Bacterial small subunit ribosomal RNA", at positions 30 to 523 of the family's 1533-position model. The record is from RNAcentral.
AUUGAACGCUGGCGGCAGGCUUAACACAUGCAAGUCGAGCGGGGUGAUGGUGCUUGCGCUAUCACUUAGCGGCGGACGGGUGAGUAAUGCUUAGGAAUCUGCCUAUUAGUGGGGGACAACAUCUCGAAAGGGAUGCUAAUACCGCAUACGUCCUACGGGAGAAAGCAGGGGAUCACUUGUGACCUUGCGCUAAUAGAUGAGCCUAAGUCGGAUUAGCUAGUUGGUGGGGUAAAGGCCUACCAAGGCGACGAUCUGUAGCGGGUCUGAAAGGAUGCUCCGCCACACUGGGACUGAGACACGGCCCAGACUCCUACGGGAGGCAGCAGUGGGGAAUAUUGGACAAUGGGGGGAACCCUGAUCCAGCCAUGCCGCGUGUGUGAAGAAGGCCUUAUGGCUGUAAAGCACUUUAAGCGAGGAGGAGGCUCUUUUGGUUAAUACCCAAGAUGAGUGGACGUUACUCGCAGAAUAAGCACCGGCUAACUCUGUGCCAGCCGCCGCGGUAA